Molecule: ribosomal RNA, 1380 nt
Filed under: Dokdonia genika
Lineage: Bacteria; Pseudomonadati; Bacteroidota; Flavobacteriia; Flavobacteriales; Flavobacteriaceae
Description: bacterial SSU rRNA
Source: RNAcentral
GUCGAGGGGUAACAGGAGUAGCUUGCUACUUGCUGACGACCGGCGCACGGGUGCGUAACGCGUAUAGAAUCUACCUUAUACUGGGGGAUAGCCUUUGGAAACGAAGAUUAAUACCCCAUAGUAUUAUUUUUUGGCAUCAUUAAAUAAUUAAAGUUUCGRCGGUAUAAGAUGACUAUGCGUUCUAUUAGUUAGUUGGUAAGGURACGGCUUACCAAGACUUCGAUAGAUAGGGGUCCUGAGAGGGAGAUCCCCCACACUGGUACUGAGACACGGACCAGACUCCUACGGGAGGCAGCAGUGAGGAAUAUUGGACAAUGGAGGCAACUCUGAUCCAGCCAUGCCGCGUGUAGGAAGACUGCCCUAUGGGUUGUAAACUACUUUUAUAUGGGAAGAAUAAGGUCUACGUGUAGAUNGAUGACGGUACCAUAAGAAUAAGCACCGGCUAACUCCGUGCCAGCAGCCGCGGUAAUACGGAGGGUGCAAGCGUUAUCCGGAAUCAUUGGGUUUAAAGGGUCCGUAGGCGGGCAUAUAAGUCAGUGGUGAAAGUCUGUGGCUUAACCAUAGAAUUGCCAUUGAUACUGUAUGUCUUGAAUUAUUGUGAAGUGGUUAGAAUAUGUAGUGUAGCGGUGAAAUGCUUAGAGAUUACAUAGAAUACCGAUUGCGAAGGCAGAUCACUAACAAUAUAUUGACGCUGAUGGACGAAAGCGUAGGUAGCGAACAGGAUUAGAUACCCUGGUAGUCUACGCCGUAAACGAUGGAUACUAGUUGUUUGGUUUUCGGACUGAGUGACUAAGCGAAAGUGAUAAGUAUCCCACCUGGGGAGUACGUUCGCAAGAAUGAAACUCAAAGGAAUUGACGGGGGCCCGCACNAGCGGUGGAGCAUGUGGUUUAAUUCGAUGAUACGCGAGGAACCUUACCAGGGCUUAAAUGUAGUCUGACAGCUUUAGAGAUAGAGUUUUCUUCGGACAGAUUACAAGGUGCUGCAUGGUUGUCGUCAGCUCGUGCCGUGAGGUGUCAGGUUAAGUCCUAUAACGAGCGCAACCCCUGUGGUUAGUUGCCAGCGAGUAAUGUCGGGAACUCUAGCCAGACUGCCGGUGCAAACCGUGAGGAAGGUGGGGAUGACGUCAAAUCAUCACGGCCCUUACGUCCUGGGCCACACACGUGCUACAAUGGUAGGGACAGAGAGCAGCCACUUAGCGAUAAGGAGCGAAUCUAUAAACCCUAUCUCAGUUCGGAUUGGAGUCUGCAACUCGACUCCAUGAAGCUGGAAUCGCUAGUAAUCGGAUAUCAGCCAUGAUCCGGUGAAUACGUUCCCGGGCCUUGUACACACCGCCCGUCAAGCCAUGGAAGCUGGGGGUACCUGAAGUCCGUCACCGUAAG